AAUAACGUCCUGCAUGCUUAUAGAAUUUAAAUUUAUCACUGCAGGGGGUGAAUUUUAAAUGCAAAAGUUAUAAACUGUAAGAAUUAUAAUUUGAAAACCUUAUUCUGAAGAAGAGUAAAAUUCUAAAUUGAGAAUAUACCACAACUAUUGUUAAAGCAUCAUGGGUCAAUUUUGCCUUUGAAAUGUUUUCAAUUUUUAUUUUUAUUUCUUUUUUUACUUUUGUGGUUCUUUAUUUGAGCAUUUCUCUAAGAAUUCCUAAAUUGUGUAUAUAUAUCAGUCAAGGGACGAUAGUAUUUCAGCAGCAGACUCCGCUCUAAGGUGGACCCCCCCUCCUCAACAGAAGUAAUUUUCUAAUACACCAUUAAAAGACCAGCAUAGAGUACCGGUAUGAAAAAUAGAGAUGAGUAAUGAAUUGAAGUAAGAGUUUAAUCUACAGUGUUCCUUGGCUAUGCUUAUAUACUCAUUUGAGGUUUUGUUGUUGUUGUUUUUACUUUUAGUGAAAUCUUAGUUUGUACAUAACUUUUUCGAUUGAAUAAUUACCACGUUUCACACAUGUUGGUUCAAAAGCUGUUCAACUUGCCGAUAACAUUUUGUUUUCAGUAAAGAGAAGCAUAGAAAGAAAUAUUUUUGUUCCCACUCUAAUGGUGAAGACCUUUUCUUACUCUGUGUGUUUGGAUUAUUUCUCCUCCACUAGCUUUUUGGCAAUAAAAAUAUCUGCCUAGUCGUCAGAGGUGGUCUGUAAAAGUUGAAACCUGAAUUGUAAAUGAUCUUUUGAAACAACAUUUACAAACCCUGACAAGAUGUUUAAGAUGAUCUAAUCCCUUUCUGGUGCUUUUCCAUAUUUGAAAUUCUACUUCUGUUUACUCAAAGCUGAAAUUCAUUGUUGUCAUCUGAAAUUCGAUUUCCCUUCUUACUUGGCAUCCAGGGGAUUGAACCCACGUCCUCAUGGAGGCUAGUUGGGUUCAUUACCGCUGAGCUACAAUGGGAACUCCCUGUGCUGGGGAUUUUUUUUUUUUUUUUUGAUGGGCCCAUUUUAAAAAGAACAAGAGAAAACUGACACACAUACACGUGAGGGAGACCUAGAUGGAAAUGUUCACAGAUCAUGGACCAAAGGAUGCUAUUCGGCUGGGAAGACCUACGCUCUGGUUGCAGAGGCCCAGACUACGUCAUUGUGUGGGCGUUACAGAGAGGCAGGGUUUGGGCUCAGCUGUUGAACAGUUUCCUGGGCAGCUUGGAAAAAUGUCUGACAUAUCCGAGUUGGCGAGAGGAGGCGUCCCGUCUGUAAUGCCAUCAGUGGGGGUCUGGUCUACACUGGAUGCUAAGUCAGGAAGACCUUUAGGUCCUCUUCCAACUCCAAACUUUCAGAGCUCUCUAGAUAUGUUCCUCCCUUCAUUUAUUCAACACAUGUUUUUUGAGCACCUAAUAUGUUUGCCAAAACGAGAUUAAGUUCUGGGGAUGCAGCAGGGCAUAAAAUGGUUUCUGCCCACUGAAUGUUUAGAGCCAGUGAAAAAAUGGAUUAAUGUAUUAAUAACAUCAGGUAAUGAUAAGCAAUAUGAAUGAAAAUGAAGCAGAGUAAGAAGUGCUGUGGUAUGCAAGGAGUUCAGGGAAGACCGUGAGAUGACCUUUGAUGAGGGGUCUAGGAAAUGAGGAUUUAUGGGUCGGGGUGGCGAAGGCUGUGGGCAGGAGGGACCAGCCAGGAAAGAGGAGGAAGAACGAGCACGCAGACGCUGGGGUGCAGGUUCAUUGGAGGGCCUGGAUAUGAAUGAGUGAUGCAUCAUUUCGGAAGCUUUCAUCCUGUUCUAGCUACUCCAUUAGGGAAAUAAUCCGUUCAGAGCUGACUGCUCUAUGCUCGGGGUGUCCACCUUGGUCCAAAUGCACGCGCCUCUACGGAAAGGUACAAACAAACUCACACCUGGAACUGGACGGCCAGCCCUAGACUAUUUGCCUCCUUAAACUUGAGCAGCAAAAGUACCGUUAGGCACUUUGGAGGAAUAAUACCUUUAGCUGAAGUCACUCUUGGAGCUGCUCCUUUUUAAACUAGGAGAAUUUGGAGUUCCGUCGUGGCGCAGUGGAAACGAAUCCGACUAGGAACCAUGAGGUUGCGGGGUCAAUCUCUGGCCUUGCUCAGUGGCUUCAGGAUCUGGCAUUGCCAUGAGCAGUGGUGUAGGUCGCAGACGCGGCUCAGAUCUGACGUUGCUGUGGCUGUGGUGUAGGCCAGUGGCUACACCUCCGAUUAGACCCCUAGCCUGGGAACCUCCAUAUGCCAUGGGUGCGGCCCUACAAGUACAAAAAUAAAUAAACAAACAAACUAGGAUGUUUCAUUAGGACAACAUCCCUUUUUGGCUACACUUCAAUAUCUCUCAUUCUUAGCCUUAGACAUUUCAACAAACAAAAAAUCCCUGUCCUAGAACCUUGGAAAUGUGUGAGUUGAUAUAAACUUCAAGUUUUCAAGAAAAUAAUACAGACAGUUGAAGAGGAAGUGGAGGCUCUGCAGAGUGGGUGGGGGUGUGGUCAGGGAAAUGUGAUGGACCAGAGCUCCUUGGGUUUUCUGCAUCUGUGCCAGAUGCCCCUGUGGUUCUUCAGACAACCCUUGUCGGCAUCCUCGUGCAUUUCUGUUCUUCCAGCUUGUGGGUGUCUCGUGGGGGACCUGACUCUCUGUAGCUCUCAGUGUGUCCUUGGCACAAGGUGGGAUUGUGUCAAACAGUGCCUGAUUCCGAGGGCAUAGAGCAUCUCAACAACAACGUCCGUUUGGAGCCCCUCUGGGGGACAGGGCAUGCUUGGGCUAAGAGAAUUGCUGUGUCUCCCAAACCCAGCUCACUCCCACUUUCCACCUUCUGACAGCUGAAAGUUUUAAGAUUCUCUUUUUAGCCCAAUUCUUCAAAAAUAAAUGAGGCGUGCCGUCGUGUUACAGAAGCAAGCUCCCUACCUUGGCUGGCAGGGCCAGUGAGCAUGUGCAGGAUGGGGAGUCGGGGGAGGGGGACUGUGAUGCUGUGAGAGGGGGCUGCUCCAACAACAGUUUUCUCAGGCUCCCCCUCCUCAAAACGACGGGGUCAAAUUGGAGCUCUUGCUCUGCAUGUUUUUGAUUUCCAAGUGUUCUGUUCAUAAAAUAUUUGGUUCUCAGAGCUGCUGAUGGGUGAUCAUGGCAAAAAUGAAACUGAUUUGGAUUUGAAUUUCGUUAUCAGCUUAUUGGAGUCAUGAAAAAAGAGGCACAGGAUUGGCCCUGUGGUCUGGGCUUCUUCAAGGUUUCCUCGCAAGGGACAGGGUGCCGCUCCUGCUCUGCAGGGCUGAUGUGAAUAACCAGUGAACUCGCUGAUGCAGUUUUCUUUCUCCUUCUGGGUAAUUAUAAUAAUUUCAGAGGCGCAGAUGCUUGGGAAAUGGAAGUCACAGUUUAUAGGGGGGUUACGGAGAGUUGACCCUCAGAGGGGAGCCCUUUCUUUUUUUUCUCUUGAGUGAUAGCUUCUUUAAAUUCCAUAGUGCUUUUCACUUUUCAGAAGUUCCACACACACGAGUUCAUAUAAUUGCAUAAUAACCUCUUUCCCCGCUCAGCCCUCAAAAGAGGGCCCUUUCUUAUGGCAAUAGUAAACACGGAGGGUCUGAAAUGCUCCCUCUGCGUAAUCCUGUGACUAAUUUACAGAGUGGAGACACUGCUUUAUCAGUGAGCACACCAGUUCGUGUGUGUGCCUGUCUGUCAUCGCAUCCAAGUUCUUCCUUGGGGAUGAGGUACCCUCUGAACCCCACAUGGGCCAGUUGGGGCUUUGCUUUGAUUGAAGCAGAAGAAGAGAUGACACUUAGGUGUCUGCCACAGCAGCUUUAUUCAAGCACAUGGGGCUCCGGCCUCUCUGGGGUGCAAGGCUAACGUGGGAAGAAGGGCUCCCUGACACCUGGCAGAUUACAGUUGGUGAGAACAGGUCUCAUUUAGCCGACGGACGUAAGGCAGGCAGUCCCCAUUCUCCUGCCAGGGCCUGAACAAGCACAGGUUUGAUAGCAGCAAUAGUCACGGCAGCAGCUAAUAUUUACUGACCACCUGCCAGACACUGUAUUUUUCCCAUUUGUCCUGAUCACAACCCUGUGAGACAGAGUCCAUGAUUAUCCCCGGGAAACCAAAGCCCGAUGAUUUGCUCAACAUCCCACAACAGCGUGUGUGUCCCCAUAAACACAGGAAAAGUCCUCUUUUCUCUCCUAAUAAGGCCUCCGUGAACCCUCCCUGAGCCCACCCACCUCCCCUGUUCACCCAGACAUCCAUCAUCCGUUCACAGGUGAGGUACCCUCUGAACCCCACACUGGCCGGUUGGGCCUUUGCUUUGAUUGAGGCAGAUGAAGGGACGACACUUGGGUGUCUGCCAGAGCAGCUUUGCUCGAGCACAUGGGGCUCCAGCCUGUCUGAGCCCCAUGCAUUAAGGAUACAUGAAGAGCAUCCUGUGAUGUGUUCCUGGUAGGUUUGGCUGUGUCCUGUUUCCCACCAUGGAGACUGAACUCCCAGGGGUCAGGGUCCAUGAAGUGGUCCUUCCUAGCUCUCCAUCAUGUGACUCAGGGAGUGUGCCCUGAUGGGUCUUGGCCAAGGCAAGGGAUGGCAUCUGCUUGGGCAGUGUCACCAGGCAGGUGUCAAUGGGGAUGACUUCUGAGUGCACACUCCUCUUGUCAGGGAGAUUGAUCAUCCAGCCUCUGUGCCCAGGAGAUGUUUUAUGCAGGAAGGAAAACAGGCCUGGAGAUGACACGGGGCUCAGACACUCUGCAACGAGCAGGGGUGAGAGUUGGCCAUGUGAUAGGAGAAGAAUCCAAAAUCUGCUAAUUAGUGAAUCAUUCAAAGAGAACAAGCAGCCUGGGGUCAGUUAGCCUAGGAACGGGCCACCCUCAGGCUUUUGCAGGCCCUGAAGACUUCAUUGUGUGGCAGCAUUUGUUAAUUUAUCAAACACAUGUGCACAUAGGUGCACACACAUACAACAUGUAUAAAACUACGUUGUAUUUUUAGGCACUGUUUAAUCACUCUACUGUUAUUAACUUGCUUAAUCUUCAGCCACCAUGAAGAUAGAUACUGUUGUUACCUUGGUUUUACAGAUGGGGAAACAGUCUCAGAGAGGUAACUGGAUCAAGAUCUCAGAGCCAGGAUGACCACCCAGGAGGGCGGCACAGUCUUUCAUUAUGAUGGCGCUUAAAUAUUAAGAGAAUGUGAGCUACUUCCAGUAUCAGAUACUGUGACAAAGAAACAUGUGACAUAUUUGAGAAAGAGGUUUAUGAAAAAUUAUUUUUUUUUAUGCCUUAGAUAUUUUAGGGAUAAGUCCCAGUUAUUUAGAAAAUUCUGUUUUCUCCCUCCACUCCCCCAAGUUAAAACAUGUAGUGUGUAUUUUAAACGAACAAGAUCAAAGGACAUAAAUAGUCUGAAUACGUGACUUUAUACGAAGCCCUCAUAUGUGACAUUGUGACGCAGACAGGCUGGGGACUUUUAGUCCGGUACUCUCUGCGCGGGAUUGCUUUGACCAGGACAGCCCAGCAGCGUCAGAUAGGGAGCUUAGAUCCCAGACCUAAACAUGCCUUCGUAGAAUGUAUAACCUGCUGGCGAGGAUAAAACACAUUCACAAGUACUGACUGGAUACAGUUCUUAAGACUUCAAGUAACCUGUUUUGUUAGGAAAUGCAUUAAAAGCAUUUUGCGCCUGCCUUGUGCCUCUUGCAUAUACCAAACAUACGCCUAGAUAUUCUAGACACAUUCAUCGAAUCCUCGUUUGCUUGUUUGUAUUGUUUUUGAUUUGUUUUGGGCGGCGCCCACAGCAUGCAAAAGUUCCCAGGCCAAGAACUGAACCCCUGCCACAGCAGUGACCCAAGCUGCUGCAGUGACAAUGCCAGAACCUUAACCUACUGUGUCACAAGAGAACUUCUGGUUUGUUUUUACAAUCCCUGUUGUAAUUUCAAGGAGAGGAAAACUAAGACACCCGUAAGUUCUAUCAUCCUCCGCUGUUAACAGUCUGUGUUCCAGACGUGGAAGCGUCGCUGUGGAAUGUGAGCAGCCCUGGCCCCAGUAGAAAGAGGCUUGUUCAUGCUUCAGUCCCCUUUCUCUCGUUCAUGACAAAUUGGUCCCCUGACUGCAACAUCCAUUUGGUACUUACUUGGUGAAAGGCUGAGUCUUCUAUGUGCUGAGUAUAAUAUAAAUUCCUACCAAUACAAAAUCAGGGUUACUGGGGGCUGGGUCAAACUUCCGUGCCUUGAGGUAUAUCGGUAGAGUUUAUAAAUCAGCCGACACGUGUUUAUGACUUAUCUGGUGCGCAGUUGUCACGGAUGGAGCCUGGCUUCUGCUGUAGGGAGAGACAUGCUGAGAGAAAACUGAUGGCCAGGAACUGUCUCAAGCUCUGCUUUGGAUUUCUCACUCACAUCUUAUUCUUUUCUUUUCCCCUUAAGGGUCGAGAUUACUGUUCCGAAGAAGAGGAUAUCACAUAGCACCAAUUCUACCACUUAAACCGGGAGCUACUACUGUGUAAAUAGGUUACACCCCAGUUGAAAUCUUUGCAAAGGUCGGUUCUCUUCAGCGAACAGCACUAUAGCAAAAGAAGAUCGUUUCAUAUCGUAUGCCCCAUUAAAUUACAGUGUUUCUUAAUGAACUUGCAAAGGAAUAUUGCUAAAAAAAAAAAAACAAAAAACAAAAAA
RNAcentral lists this long non-coding RNA (6635 nucleotides) under Sus scrofa (pig). RNAcentral describes it as "lncRNA (ENSSSCG00045031158.1)". The record is from RNAcentral. Lineage: Eukaryota; Metazoa; Chordata; Mammalia; Artiodactyla; Suidae.